RNAcentral lists this ribosomal RNA (254 nucleotides) under uncultured bacterium. RNAcentral describes it as "partial 16S ribosomal RNA". It matches the Rfam family "Bacterial small subunit ribosomal RNA", at positions 524 to 776 of the family's 1533-position model. The record is from RNAcentral.
GACGUAGGGCGCGAGCGUUGUCCGGAUUUAUUGGGCGUAAAGAGCGCGCAGGCGGUCGUUCAAGUCGCGUGUGAAAGCCCCCGGCUCAACUGGGGAGGGUCACGCGAUACUGAUCGACUCGAAGGCAGGAGAGGGUAGUGGAAUUCCCGGUGUAGUGGUGAAAUGCGUAGAUAUCGGGAGGAACACCAGUGGCGAAGGCGACUACCUGGCCUGUUUCUUGACGCUGAGGCGCGAAAGCCAGGGGAGCAAACGGG